AACGAACGCUGGCGGCAGGCCUAAUACAUGCAAGUCGAACGGAUGUAGCAAUACAUUAGUGGCGCACGGGUGCGGAACACGUGGGAACAUACCCUUUGGUAAGGAAUAAUGUCUGGAAACGGACACUAAUACCUUAUAAUGACUUCGGUCCAAAGAUUUAUGGCCAAAGGAUUGGCCCGCGUCUGAUUAGGUAGUUGGUGGGGUAAUGGCCUACCAAGCCUACGAUCAGUAGCUGGUCUGAGAGGAUGAUCAGCCACACUGGAACUGAGACACGGUCCAGACUCCUACGGGAGGCAGCAGUGAGGAAUAUUGGACAAUGGGCGCAAGCCUGAUCCAGCCAUGCCGCGUGAGUGAAGAAGGCCUUAGGGUUGUAAAGCUCUUUCAAUAGUGAAGAUAAUGACGGUAGCUAUAGAAGAAGCCCCGGCUAAAUUCGUGCCAGCCGCCGCCGUAA
RNAcentral lists this ribosomal RNA (451 nucleotides) under uncultured bacterium. RNAcentral's name for it is "partial 16S ribosomal RNA". It matches the Rfam family "Bacterial small subunit ribosomal RNA", at positions 29 to 523 of the family's 1533-position model. The record is from RNAcentral.